Molecule: ribosomal RNA, 433 nt
Filed under: uncultured bacterium
Lineage: Bacteria
Description: partial 16S ribosomal RNA
Rfam family: Bacterial small subunit ribosomal RNA
Source: RNAcentral
AACGAACGCUGGCGGCAGGCUUAACACAUGCAAGUCGAACGUAUCCUUCGGGAUUAGUGGCAGACGGGUGAGUAACGCGUGGGAACGUACCCUUUGCUACGGAAUAACUCAGGGAAACUUGAGCUAAUACCGUAUGUGCCCUACGGGGGAAAGAUUUAUCGGCAAAGGAUCGGCCCGCGUUGGAUUAGCUAGUUGGUGGGGUAAUGGCCUACCAAGGCGACGAUCCAUAGCUGGUCUGAGAGGAUGAUCAGCCACACUGGGACUGAGACACGGCCCAGACUCCUACGGGAGGCAGCAGUGGGGAAUAUUGGACAAUGGGCGCAAGCCUGAUCCAGCCAUGCCGCGUGAGUGAUGAAGGUCUUAGGAUUGUAAAGCUCUUUCACCGGUGAAGAUAAUGACGGUAGCCGGAGAAGAAGCCCCGGCUAACUUCGUG